Molecule: ribosomal RNA, 408 nt
Filed under: uncultured bacterium
Lineage: Bacteria
Description: partial 16S ribosomal RNA
Rfam family: Bacterial small subunit ribosomal RNA
Source: RNAcentral
GACGAACGCUGGCGGCGUGCCUAAUACAUGCAAGUCGAGCGAAGCGGCGGAUGGGUGAGUAACGCGUGGGUAACCUGCCCUUAAGUCUGGGAUACCAUUUGGAAACAGAUGCUAAUACCGGAUACCUCAGGAUGGAACUGCGAAGCAUUAGCUAGUUGGUAAGGUAACGGCUUACCAAGGCGACGAUGCAUAGCCGAGUUGAGAGACUGAGCGGCCACAAGGCGACUGAGACACGGCCCAAACUCCUACGGUAGGCAGCAGUAGGUAAUCUUCCACAAUGGACGAAAGUCUGAUGGAGCAACGCCGCGUGAGUGAAGAAGGUUUUCGGAUCGUAAAGCUCUGUUGUUGGUGAAGCGGUAAUCAACCAGAAAGGCACGGCUAACUACGUGCCAGCAGCCGCGGUAAUUC